Molecule: non-coding RNA, 21 nt
Filed under: Caenorhabditis elegans
Lineage: Eukaryota; Metazoa; Nematoda; Chromadorea; Rhabditida; Rhabditidae
Source: RNAcentral
UUUUUACGUAUCUGAUUUCCA